GACGAACGCUGGCGGCGUGCUUAACACAUGCAAGUCGAACGGUAAGGCCCUUCGGGGUACACGAGUGGCGAACGGGUGAGUAACACGUGGGUGAUCUGCCCUGCACUUUGGGAUAAGCCUGGGAAACUGGGUCUAAUACCGGAUAGGACCACGGCCUGCAUGGGUUGUGGUGGAAAGCUUUUGCGGUGUGGGAUGGGCCCGCGGCCUAUCAGCGUGUUGGUGGGGUGAUGGCCUACCAAGGCGACGACGGGUAGCCGGCCUGAGAGGGUGUCCGGCCACACUGGGACUGAGAUACGGGCCAGACUCCUACGGGAGGGAGCAGUGGGGAGUAUUGCACAAUGGGCGCAAGCCUGAUGCAGCGACGCCGCGUGGGGGAUGACGGCCUUCGGGUUGUAAACCUCUUUCACCAGGGACGAAGCGCAAGUGACGGUACCUGGAGAAGAAGCACCGGCCAACUACGUGCCAGCCGCCGCAGUAA
RNAcentral lists this ribosomal RNA (478 nucleotides) under uncultured bacterium. RNAcentral's name for it is "partial 16S ribosomal RNA". It matches the Rfam family "Bacterial small subunit ribosomal RNA", at positions 28 to 523 of the family's 1533-position model. The record is from RNAcentral.